AAUCAACGCUGGCGGCGUGCCUAACACAUGCAAGUCGAACGAGAAAGGGUAGCAAUACCUGAGUAAAGUGGCGCACGGGUGAGUAACACGUGACUAACCUACCUUUGAGUGGGGGAUAACCUAGGGAAACCUGGGCUAAUACCGCAUAAUACCUACGGGUCAAAGCAGCAAUGCGCUGAAAGAGGGGGUCGCGGCCGAUUAGCUAGUUGGCGGGGUAAUGGCCCACCAAGGCGAUGAUCGGUAUCCGGCCUGAGAGGGCGCACGGACACACUGGAACUGAAACACGGUCCAGACUCCUACGGGAGGCAGCAGUGGGGAAUUUUGCGCAAUGGGGGAAACCCUGACGCAGCAACGCCGCGUGGGGAG
RNAcentral lists this ribosomal RNA (366 nucleotides) under uncultured bacterium. RNAcentral describes it as "bacterial SSU rRNA". It matches the Rfam family "Bacterial small subunit ribosomal RNA", at positions 32 to 408 of the family's 1533-position model. The record is from RNAcentral.